RNAcentral lists this ribosomal RNA (253 nucleotides) under uncultured bacterium. Its description in RNAcentral is "partial 16S ribosomal RNA". It matches the Rfam family "Bacterial small subunit ribosomal RNA", at positions 524 to 776 of the family's 1533-position model. The record is from RNAcentral.
UACGGAGGGUGCAAGCGUUAUCCGGAUUCACUGGGUUUAAAGGGUGCGUAGGUGGGUUGAUAAGUCAGUGGUGAAAUCCCCGAGCUUAACUUGGGAACUGCCAUUGAUACUAUUGAUCUUGAAUACCGUGGAGGUCAGCGGAAUAUGUCAUGUAGCGGUGAAAUGCUUAGAUAUGACAUAGAACACCAAUUGCGAAGGCAGCUGGCUACGCGAAUAUUAACACUGAUGCACGAAAGCGUGGGGAUCAAACAGG